This 394-nucleotide ribosomal RNA is filed under the name uncultured bacterium. RNAcentral's name for it is "partial 16S ribosomal RNA". It matches the Rfam family "Bacterial small subunit ribosomal RNA", at positions 523 to 918 of the family's 1533-position model. The record is from RNAcentral.
AUACGGAGGGUGCGAGCGUUAAUCGGAAUCACUGGGCGUAAAGCGCACGUAGGAUGUCUGGCAAGUCAGGGGUGAAAUCCCGCGGCUCCACCGCGGAACUGCCUUUGAAACUGUCAGACUUGAGUAUCGGAGAGGGUGGCGGAAUUCCAGGUGUAGGAGUGGAAUCCGUAGAUAUCUGGAAGAACACCGGUGGCGAAGGCGGCCACCUUGACGAAAACUGACGCUGAUGUGCGAAAGCGUGGGUAGAAAACAGGAUUAGAUACCCUGGUAGUCCACGCUGUAAACGAUGGAUGCUGGGUGCUGGGAGCAUAGCUUUCGGCGCCGUAGUUAACGCGAUAAGCAUCCCGCCUGGGGAGUACGGUCGCAAGGCUGAAACGCAAAUGAAUUGACGGGG